UCGGUUGGCUAGAGUUUAGCUGAUCCAGGUUGACUGAGCUGGAUUCAGAUAGGCUCUACAUGUCUGUCAUCCUCUUUGAACCAACAGCAUUUGAAACAUGAUCUUCUCCUAGAGAAAGAGAGGAGUACAAGGGGCCAAGCCAAUCCACAAGCUCUUAUAAAGCCUCUGCUUUCAUGUCAGUCACAGUUGCCAACAUGUCCACUACAGCCCCAAGGAAUGCUCUAAAAGCUCAAAACUACUCUUGAAAGCCUGUCUCAAAGGAAAUAGACCAGAAAGAUUAGGAAGAGGGAGGCCUGAGAAAGCAAGCAUCAUUUCAUAGGGUGGACAGCUGCCAGUUUCUGCCUUCCCAGCAUUCACACCUGACUUCCUUUAGUGACCUAAAGGGAUGGGCAGAAUGACCCAGCCAACUUGCUCUUCCAGGAAAACUUCAGGAUGGAAAACAGCUCCUGCUUCAUCCUGAGGGUUCAAAAUACGGAGGCCGCAUUGUGUCCAUGGAUGGGAGCAUGGAAAGAAACCUUUAAAAGCUGGACCAAGAAAGGAAAGAAGACAGAAAAGUAGGAAGAAAUCCUGAUACUGGUGGUACCAAAUGCCUCUGAAAUUGUUUCGAAAGUAAAAGUUAA
This 620-nucleotide long non-coding RNA is filed under the name Homo sapiens (human). RNAcentral describes it as "HSALNT0348810". Lineage: Eukaryota; Metazoa; Chordata; Mammalia; Primates; Hominidae. The record is from RNAcentral.